AGACAUGUGGCUGCUGUCCUGACAGCGUGUCUGUGCAGGAUAGUGUGUGGCCUCCCACAAAGCUGUGAAUUGACUGGGAGCUGGACUGCCCUGGAGUCUGUGUGGGAGCGGUGUGUUUCCUGCAGCCGCCGCCACUGCUGUAUCGGGCUGUGUAUGCUCUCCUUCAUGCUGCCAGUGGUGCAGUCAUCAGCUGCAGUUGACCCCAGGCUUUACUGCUGUUUUGGCUCUCCUUCUUUGGAUGUGCUUGACACCUGCUCGUCGCACCACGGCCUCCUCAGUACACCCUGCUGCCCUAGGGGCCUGAUGGACCACCCAGGCUCCUUGAGAAGUGUGGCUCUCCUGCGUCGAGCCUAGGAGCUUGAGCCUGCACCAUGCUCGGGCAUUUUUAGAAAUGCAGACGCACUUUUCCUUCUGAUUUUCUUCUUUUUUUCCUUCUUCUGUUCGAUUGCGUUUAAUAGUGAUUACGUUGCUUUAUUGUUCUCUGUUCUAUCCCUUUGGUUCUUGUUAUUUUGUAAUGAUUUGUUUUUUUCAUUUCGUGUAAAUUACUUUGUUCCUCUUUCGUUUGAAUAUUUAGGUAUUGGGUUUUUGUUUUCAGGGUAUGAGGGCUGCCAUCAUUUUGUGAGUUUAAUUGUUGAUUUUCUUUUCUUUUGACAGGUGCUGGGGGUCCCAGAGCGGCAGCGGUUCCCUGGUGGUGGUUCCGUUUUCACUUUUUGGUUUGCUGUGUCACGGGUGCUGUGUGUUUUUGGAUCCUCCCCCCUUUCUGUUACCGCUGU
Molecule: long non-coding RNA, 773 nt
Organism: Salarias fasciatus (jewelled blenny)
Lineage: Eukaryota; Metazoa; Chordata; Actinopteri; Blenniiformes; Blenniidae
Exons: 3
Source: RefSeq, a predicted model, not a curated record